GACGAACGCUGGCGGCGUGCCUAAUACAUGCAAGUAGAACGCUGAAGAGAGGAGCUUGCUCUUCUUGGAUGAGUUGCGAACGGGUGAGUAACGCGUAGGUAACCUGCCUUGUAGCGGGGGAUAACUAUUGGAAACGAUAGCUAAUACCGCAUAACAAUGGAUGACACAUGUCAUUUAUUUGAAAGGGGCAAUUGCUCCACUACAAGAUGGACCUGCGUUGUAUUAGCUAGUAGGUGAGGUAAUGGCUCACCUAGGCGACGAUACAUAGCCGACCUGAGAGGGUGAUCGGCCACACUGGGACUGAGACACGGCCCAGACUCCUACGGGAGGCAGCAGUAGGGAAUCUUCGGCAAUGGGGGCAACCCUGACCGAGCAACGCCGCGUGAGUGAAGAAGGUUUUCGGAUCGUAAAGCUCUGUUGUAAGUCAAGAACGGGUGUGAGAGUGGAAAGUUCACACUGUGACGGUAGCUUACCAGAAAGGGACGGCUAACUACGUGCCAGCAGCCGCGGUAAUACGUAGGUCCCGAGCGUUGUCCGGAUUUAUUGGGCGUAAAGCGAGCGCAGGCGGUUUGAUAAGUCUGAAGUUAAAGGCUGUGGCUCAACCAUAGUUCGCUUUGGAAACUGUCAAACUUGAGUGCAGAAGGGGAGAGUGGAAUUCCAUGUGUAGCGGUGAAAUGCGUAGAUAUAUGGAGGAACACCGGUGGCGAAAGCGGCUCUCUGGUCUGUAACUGACGCUGAGGCUCGAAAGCGUGGGGAGCGAACAGGAUUAGAUACCCUGGUAGUCCACGCCGUAAACGAUGAGUGCUAGGUGUUGGAUCCUUUCCGGGAUUCAGUGCCGCAGCUAACGCAUUAAGCACUCCGCCUGGGGAGUACGACCGCAAGGUUGAAACUCAAAGGAAUUGACGGGGGCCCGCACAAGCGGUGGAGCAUGUGGUUUAAUUCGAAGCAACGCGAAGAACCUUACCAGGUCUUGACAUCCCGAUGCUAUUUCUAGAGAUAGAAAGUUACUUCGGUACAUCGGUGACAGGUGGUGCAUGGUUGUCGUCAGCUCGUGUCGUGAGACGUUGGGUUAAGUCCCGCAACGAGCGCAACCCCUAUUGUUAGUUGCCAUCAUUCAGUUGGGCACUCUAGCGAGACUGCCGGUAGUAAACCGGAGGAAGGUGGGGAUGACGUCAAAUCAUCAUGCCCCUUAUGACCUGGGCUACACACGUGCUACAAUGGUUGGUACAACGAGUUGCGAGUCGGUGACGGCGAGCUAAUCUCUUAAAGCCAAUCUCAGUUCGGAUUGUAGGCUGCAACUCGCCUACAUGAAGUCGGAAUCGCUAGUAAUCGCGGAUCAGCACGCCGCGGUGAAUACGUUCCCGGGCCU
This 1369-nucleotide ribosomal RNA is filed under the name uncultured bacterium. Its description in RNAcentral is "bacterial SSU rRNA". It matches the Rfam family "Bacterial small subunit ribosomal RNA", at positions 28 to 1381 of the family's 1533-position model. The record is from RNAcentral.